AGAGGCUGAAUUAUCCUCCAAGCGGUGCUGCUUCUGAGCCUCUGCCCUGGUGCCGGUGUCUCGAGCUUCAUGUCUUUUUAACAAGUGUGUCAGUGUGAGCUUGGCCUGCAGCCUGGAGUCUACUAAUGUUUUCCCAAGAGAGAAAAAUAAGAGAAGGAUAAUGACAAUUUUUGUCAGUUUGCAUCCCAAAUGGAAUUUUAUGGGACGAAGAAAAGAGACUUCUGUGGCCCAAAGAGAUUUCCUCUGCUGAAUACCAAACACUUCUACAAACAACAGAAAGAUAAAAAGAAGCGAUAUUGUUGGGAUGCCUAGGAUUUCAAAAUAUUACUUCAUAAUAAGCAUAAAACACACCUUAAAGCACAUAUUAUGGGUCCAGAAGAACACAUCUUUCAGUCUUUGAGAAGCAUUCAAACUACUCUGGCAGAUGAAGAUUUGGAUUUGGCUUGCUUGAUGCUGGACGAUUAAUGAAGGAAGCCCUAACUGGACAAAUGUUGGUCUCCUGAGACAAUGUGUUGUUGAUAACAGAAAAGGAUUGACAAUAAGAUGUGGAUGUUCAUCUUUAAUGAACUCUAGUCACCAAGUGGAAACUGGCUAACUUUGAUGAUGUAGUUGAUCACCUUCUCAGCAGUAGCUGAAUACUUGCUCCUCAAAAUGAGCAAGCCUGUUAACUGAGAAUGUGAAGAGGUGAACCAAGCAAAAAAGAAAAAGUGUGAAGAACUUUGCUGCCAUAUCGUCACUGUAUCAUAUAGUUUUAGGUUCAAUGAGUGAAUAGUGGAAGAGUACUACAGAGAAAUCUACAUAAUAUGUUUGAUCCAAUCAAGUGUUGCCACAGUACCAGUAUUCUUUUCUUGUUGGAGUUACUCAUGUAGGAGAAACCGCACUGCUGUGUGAGUUAAAGGUUCACAUUCUGUCCUUCAUUUUGGCACUUACAUUAUAAGACUCUCU
Hirundo rustica (Barn swallow) is the source of this 945-nucleotide long non-coding RNA. RefSeq lists it as uncharacterized. The record is from RefSeq and is a predicted model, not a curated record. Lineage: Eukaryota; Metazoa; Chordata; Aves; Passeriformes; Hirundinidae. The transcript is spliced from 7 exons.